AACGAGUUACGUUAAGUAGCAAGGUUAAGCACUUAAGGUGCGGAGCCGUAGCGAAAGCGAGUUUUAACUGAGCGUUCAGUUACUUGACGUAGACCCGAAACCGGGCGACCUACCCAUGAGCAGGAUGAAGCGAAAGUAAAAUUUCGUGGAGGUCCGAACCCACGAGCGUUGAAAAGCUCGGGGAUGACUGGUGGGUAGCGGUGAAAUUCCAAUCGAGCCCGGAGAUAGCUGGUUCUCCCCGAAAUAGCUUUAGGGCUAGCCUCAAGGUGAGAGAUACGGAGGUAGAGCACUGAAUGUCCUAGGGGGUAUUGCACCUACCGAAGACUAUCAAACUCCGAAUGCCGUCAUCUUAUACUUGGGAGUCAGACUGUGGGUGAUAAGAUUCAUAGUCGAAAGGGCAACAGCCCAGAUCGUCAGCUAAGGUCCCUAAAUGUAAGUUAAGUGGUAAAGGAUGUGGGAUUGCACAGACAACCAGGAUGUUGGCUUAGAAGCAGCCACUCAUUCAAAGAGUGCGUAAUAGCUCACUGGUCGAGUGAUCCUGCGCCGAAGAUUUCCGGGGCUAAAACUUACUACCGAAGCUACGGCAUCAGUAAUGAUGGGUAGGGGAGCUUGCCAUACGGUUAGAAGCAUGACCGUAAGGACAUGUGGACAGUAUGGGAGUGAGAAUGUUGGCAUGAGUAGCGAGAUGUGGGUG
Molecule: ribosomal RNA, 694 nt
Filed under: Clostridioides difficile
Lineage: Bacteria; Bacillati; Bacillota; Clostridia; Peptostreptococcales; Peptostreptococcaceae
Description: bacterial LSU rRNA
Rfam family: Bacterial large subunit ribosomal RNA
Source: RNAcentral